AUCAACGCUGGCGGCGUGCCUCAGACAUGCAAGUCGAACGCGAAAGUUCCCUUCGGGGAGCAAGUAGAGUGGCGCACGGGUGAGUAACACGUAGGUAAUCUACCUUUGGAUGGGGAAUAACAACCGGAAACGGUUGCUAAUACCGCAUAAUGCAGCGGCACCUAAUGGUGACAGUUGUUAAAGCGGGGGAUCGAAAGACCUCGCGUCUAAAGAGGAGCCUGCGGCGGAUUAGCUAGUUGGUAAGGUAAUGGCUUACCGAGGCUACGAUCCGUGACCGGCCUGAGAGGGCGGUCGGUCACACUGACACUGACAUACGGGUCAGACUCCUACGGGAGGCAGCAGUCGGGAAUUUUGGGCAAUGGGCGAAAGCCUGACCCAGCAACGCCGCGUGAAGGAUGAAAUCCCUCGGGAUGUAAACUUCGCAAGAACGGGAAGAAUAAGU
RNAcentral lists this ribosomal RNA (442 nucleotides) under uncultured bacterium. RNAcentral describes it as "bacterial SSU rRNA". It matches the Rfam family "Bacterial small subunit ribosomal RNA", at positions 32 to 454 of the family's 1533-position model. The record is from RNAcentral.